This 179-nucleotide ribosomal RNA is filed under the name uncultured fungus. RNAcentral's name for it is "partial contains internal transcribed spacer 1 and 5.8S ribosomal RNA". Lineage: Eukaryota; Fungi. The record is from RNAcentral.
CCGAACAAGUGAUGAUUGUAUAUCGCCGGAGCCGCGAGGAAAUGCCUGCCUAUGAUUUCGAAUAUGAACUUGCCAAGAGCGAUGGUGUGCACUUCCACUUCCUUAGCGCUCCAAAGCGCAUCAUCGGCACCACACACGUGGAAGCCAUCGAAUGUAUCCGGAUGAAGCUCGGUCAACCC